CCUACGGGAGGCAGCAGUGGGGAAUAUUGCACAAUGGGGGAAACCCUGAUGCAGCGACGCCGCGUGAGCGAUGAAGUAUUUCGGUAUGUAAAGCUCUAUCAGCAGGGAAGAAAAUGACGGUACCUGACUAAGAAGCCCCGGCUAACUACGUGCCAGCAGCCGCGGUAAUACGUAGGGGGCAAGCGUUAUCCGGAUUUACUGGGUGUAAAGGGAGCGUAGACGGCGGUGCAAGCCAGAUGUGAAAGCCCGGGGCUCAACCCCGGGACUGCAUUUGGAACUGCGUGGCUAGAGUGCAGGAGGGGCAGGCGGAAUUCCUGGUGUAGCGGUGAAAUGCGUAGAUAUCAGGAGGAACACCGGUGGCGAAGGCGGCCUGCUGGACUGCAACUGACGUUGAGGCCCGAAAGCGUGGGGAGCAAACAGGAUUAGAUACCCUAGUAGUC
Molecule: ribosomal RNA, 440 nt
Filed under: uncultured bacterium
Lineage: Bacteria
Description: partial 16S ribosomal RNA
Rfam family: Bacterial small subunit ribosomal RNA
Source: RNAcentral